AGUGAACGCUGGCGGUAGGCCUAACACAUGCAAGUCGAACGGCAGCACAGUAAGAGCUUGCUCUUACGGGUGGCGAGUGGCGGACGGGUGAGGAAUACAUCGGAAUCUACUUUUUCGGGGGGGAUAACGUAGGGAAACUUACGCUAAUACCGCAUACGACCUACGGGUGAAAGCAGGGGAUCUUCGGACCUUGCGCGAUUGAAUGAGCCGAUGUCGGAUUAGCUAGUUGGCGGGGUAAAGGCCCACCAAGGCGACGAUCCGUAGCUGGUCUGAGAGGAUGAUCAGCCACACUGGAACUGAGCCACGGUCCAGACUCCUACGGGAGGCAGCAGUGGGGAAUAUUGGACAAUGGGCGCAAGCCUGAUCCAGCCAUACCGCGUGGGUGAAGAAGGCCUUCGGGUUGUAAAGCCCUUUUGUUGGGAAAGAAAAGCAGCAGGUUAAUACCCCGCUGUUCUGACGGUACCCAAAGAAUAAGCACCGGCUAACUUCGUG
Molecule: ribosomal RNA, 492 nt
Filed under: uncultured bacterium
Lineage: Bacteria
Description: partial 16S ribosomal RNA
Rfam family: Bacterial small subunit ribosomal RNA
Source: RNAcentral